AUAGGGGCGAAAGACUAAUCG
This 21-nucleotide non-coding RNA is filed under the name Arabidopsis thaliana (thale cress). RNAcentral also lists the same sequence under 2 other names. The record is from RNAcentral. Lineage: Eukaryota; Viridiplantae; Streptophyta; Magnoliopsida; Brassicales; Brassicaceae.